This 504-nucleotide ribosomal RNA is filed under the name uncultured bacterium. Its description in RNAcentral is "partial 16S ribosomal RNA". It matches the Rfam family "Bacterial small subunit ribosomal RNA", at positions 29 to 523 of the family's 1533-position model. The record is from RNAcentral.
AUUGAACGCUGGCGGCAGGCCUAACACAUGCGAGUCGAACGGUAGCACAGAGAGCUUGCUCUCGGGUGACGAGUGGCGGACGGGUGAGUAAUGUCUGGGAAACUGCCCGAUGGAGGGGGAUAACUACUGGAAACGGUAGCUAAUACCGCAUAACGUCGCAAGACCAAAGUGGGGGACCUUCGGGCCUCACACCAGCGGAUGUGCCCAGAUGGGAUUAGCUAGUAGGUGGGGUAAUGGCUCACCUAGGCGACGAUCCCUAGCUGGUCUGAGAGGAUGACCAGCCACACUGGAACUGAGACACGGUCCAGACUCCUACGGGAGGCAGCAGUGGGGAAUAUUGCACAAUGGGCGCAAGCCUGAUGCAGCCAUGCCGCGUGUAUGAAGAAGGCCUUCGGGUUGUAAAGUACUUUCAGCGGGGAGGAAGGCGGUGAAGUUAAUAGCUUCACCGAUUGACGUUACCCGCAGAAGAAGCACCGGCCAACUCCGUGCCAGCCGCCGCCGUAA